This is a non-coding RNA of Rhodofomes roseus, 113 nucleotides long. Lineage: Eukaryota; Fungi; Basidiomycota; Agaricomycetes; Polyporales; Fomitopsidaceae. The record is from the annotation of a RefSeq genome assembly.
GGCACCAUGGCCGAGUGGUUAAGGCGACAGAUUCGAAUAUCACGCCUUGCAAUAGGAGUACUCGGGUUAUCUGUUUCCCUAUGGGAGCGCAAGUUCAAGUCUUGCUGGUGUCG